Zalophus californianus (California sea lion) is the source of this 751-nucleotide long non-coding RNA. RefSeq lists it as uncharacterized. Lineage: Eukaryota; Metazoa; Chordata; Mammalia; Carnivora; Otariidae. The record is from RefSeq and is a predicted model, not a curated record. The transcript has 4 exons.
UUGUCCUGACCCCACACCCAGAGAUCCUUAUUUAAUUGAUCUGGAGCAGGGCCCAGCACAGAGCCCAGGUGAGAAACUGAAGUGUGCUUUUUAAGACUCUUGUCUGCAGACCUCAUGUUUCCAGAUAUAAUAGGAUACUUGAUAAAAUGUGGGUUUCUAAACCCACCACAGGCCUAAUGAAUCAUAUUUUCCAGUAUGGAAUCCAGACAUCAACAGUUUAAUGAGCUACUAUGAACUGAAUCGUGUCCCCCACUCCACCCCAAAAUUCAUGUUAAAGUCCUGAUCUCUAAUAGGAUGGUAUUUGGAAGUGGGGCCUUUGAGAGAUAUUAGGGUUAGAUGAGAUCAUAAGGGUGGAGCCCCAUCAUGAGAUUAGUGCCCUCAUAAGAAGAGACAAGUAAGGACACAGAAGGUGGCUGACUUCAAGCCAGGAAGAGAGUUCUCAUCAGAAACUGACCAUGCUGGUACCUUGAUUUUAGACUUUUAGCCUGCAGAAAUAGAGCCAUCAUGGCUGAAAUCCUACUGGAUGGCUGGAUAUAAUUUACUGUUCACCAUGUUUGCCCGUGAGUCAAAAUACAUGACACCAAGGAUGAAUCUUGUGUCAAGGUAAGAAGUGGUGGUGAAGUCAUUUCUUGGCCAGAUUUCAAGCAGCAAAGAAAGCCUGGAAUGGAUUGCUUCUGUGAUAUCCUGGUCUCAUGAACAUUUAAAUUCUACUCCCAGCAAUUUUCAAUUAUACAAUAAAAUGUUAUCAACA